RNAcentral lists this ribosomal RNA (487 nucleotides) under uncultured bacterium. RNAcentral's name for it is "partial 16S ribosomal RNA". It matches the Rfam family "Bacterial small subunit ribosomal RNA", at positions 28 to 523 of the family's 1533-position model. The record is from RNAcentral.
GAUAAACGCUGGCGGCGCACAUAAGACAUGCAAGUCGAACGGACUUAACUCAUUCUUUUAGAUUGAGAGCGGUUAGUGGCGGACUGGUGAGUAACACGUAAGCAACCUGCCUAUCAGAGGGGAAUAACAGUGAGAAAUCAUUGCUAAUACCGCAUAAGCUAGUAGCAUCGCAUGAUGUAGCUAGAAAAGGAGUAAUCCGCUGAUAGAUGGGCUUGCGUCUGAUUAGCUAGUUGGUGGGGCAACGGCCUACCAAGGCGACGAUCAGUAGCCGGACUGAGAGGUUGAACGGCCACAUUGGGACUGAGAUACGGCCCAGACUCCUACGGGAGGCAACAGUCGGGAAUAUUGCGCAAUGGAGGAAACUCUGACGCAGUGACGCCGCGUAUAGGAAGAAGGUUUUCGGAUUGUAAACUAUUGUCGUGAGGGAAGAAAUUGACAGUACCUCAGGAGGAAGCUCCGGCUAACUAUGUGCCAGCAGCCGCGGUAA